GUGCUUUCCUCUUAGUUGCACAUUCCGGACUAAGACUCUGUCACCUUCUUUCAGGGUGGACUCAACAACAUGUUUGUCGAACCUUGACUUGUUGCGAUCUCCCAUCUUCUUUGCAUUUUCUGCAGCAACCUGGUAGCUUGUUUCAAGGUGGGAUUUCAGGUUCUGUACGUACUGUGAAUGUGACACAGGUUGGUGAUUGACUGGUAAACCAAAGGCCAAGUCGACUGGCAGCCUUGGCUUACGCCCAAACAUUAACUCGUAAGGGGUAAAACCAGUUACGUCAUUUUUUGUACAGUUAUAGGCGUGGACUAAUGGUUUGACAAAAUCACGCCAAUGGCUUUUUUUCUGGUUCUCAAGGGUUCCCAACAUAUUGAGUAGGGUCCUAUUGAAACGUUCGACCGGGUUUCCUCUUGGAUGAUAUGGAGUAGUUCUUAUUUUCUUGGUACCAAUGAGUUCACAGAGCUCUUUUAUUGUUCGAGACUCAAAAUCAGGGCCUUGAUCGCUAUGGAGCCUCUCAGGGAUGCCAUAGUGAACUAGAAAGUGGUCCCAUAAGCAUUUUGCAACUGUUCGAGCCUUCUGAUUUGGGGUUGGGAUGGCCACGGCAUACUUUGUAAAAUGGUCUGUAAUGGUGUUACUGGAGUCUGGCUCCAGUGUGAGAAAGUCCAUACAUACCAACUCUAGUGGUCUUGUUGCUGAAAUGUUGCAUAGUGGUGCAGCUUUCUCAGGUAGGGAUUUCCGUCGUAUGCAACGAUUGCAUGUCUUGAUCUUAUUCUCUACGUCUGCUGACAUUUUAGGCCAAUAGAACCGUGUUCUAAUGAGAUCUAGAGUGCGUUCUACACCCAUGUGGCCAAUGUCAUCAUGUAGACUUUUUAGGAAAAGUGGUCGCAGUUCUUCUGGUAGCACGAGUUGGUGGGAUGUCUGUGCACCAUCCUGUCUUUUCCUGUACAACACACCAUCCAACAGUUCUAGUCGGUUCCACUCUCGUAACAACAGGCCAACUUCAGGGAUUUCUUUCCUCAUGGAAGGUGGUGGUUUGUUACCAGACUCCAUCUGGUGGAUCACUUCUCGGAUACUGACAUCAGCUUGUUGUUUUUCUCUUAGCUCAGUGGCUGUGAAGUGGGGGAUUACUUGUAAACCAGGUUGAUCUUCCUCUUCAAAACUUUCUGGUAUGGCUUUUGCAUGAUGAGCAAGAGACGUCACCAAGGUUACAGUCGGCAGUGAUUCUGUUGGUUCCUGAUCAAUGUAGUGAACUAGGUGCUUCUCACAGAUGGCUUUAACUGUAUUUUGAGUGAUUAAGUUUCGCUGUUCAGGUUCGGAUAAGUGCUUUUGAGCAAACUGUCUUAUUCUUUCCAUUUCUUUUUGUGAUGUGAAGUCAUUUUCCAAUCCAUCAUGUGGCCGACGAGAAAGCCCAUCUGCAUCUUGAUUUUGUUUUCCUGCUCUGUAUUGCAACUGAAAGUCAAACGUUGACAAAGCAGCUAACCAUCGAUAGCUUGUCGCAUCAAGUUUAGCAGAUGUGAGAAUGUACGUUAGUGGGUUGCUGUCAGUUACCACUAGGAAUGGACUUCCGUACAAAUAAUCUUGGAAUUUCUCUGUCACUGCCCAUUUAAGGGCAAGAAAUUCGAGUUUGCGGGCUGGGUAUCUGGCUUCACACUGUGAUAAGCCACGGCUGGCCACGGCUGGCAUAUGCAAUGACACGUCUCUGUCCCUGCUGUUCCUGGUAGAGUGCAGCACCUAACCCCACAGUACUUGCAUCUGUGUGUAGGAUGUAGGGUAACUUAGGGUCAGCGAACCCAAGGACAGGAGCAGUAGUCAGCAUGUCAAUCACAGUCUCAAAUGCUACUUGGCAUUCCGUAGUCCAUCUAUCACCAAAUGUGUCUUUGGGAUUAUGGUACUUUUCCAUGUUCACUUUGAGGUUACUGUGUUUCCGCACUGGCGGAUAACCAGCAGUGAGAGCAUUGAGGGGUUUCACAAUCUUUGAAUAAUCUUUUAUGAACCGGCGGUAAUAACCGCAGAAACCUAGAAAGGUUCUUAGUUCUUUCAGAUUAGUUGGCUUUGGCCAGGUUUUGAGGGCAGAAAUCUUUUCGGGAUCUGUCGUGAUGCCUCUCUCAGACACAAUGUGACCCAAAUAUUUCACAGAAGUCUGGAAGAACUUACAUUUAUCUGGAGAAAGUUUUAGGCCGAAUUCUUUCAACCUGUUGAGGACGUUCAACAGUCUCUCUUCGUGCUCUUCUAGUGUUGCAGAGAACACUAUCAGGUCGUCGAUGAAAACGAGAGCUUGUUUCAGAUUUAGUUCUCCCAUGCAACGUUCCAUGAGCCUCUGGAAUGUGCUAGGGGCAUUUGUGAUCCCCUGUGGCAUCCGGUUAAACUCAAAGAACCCAAGGGGACAGACGAAAGCAGUUUUGUGCUUGUCUGACUCCUCCAUUUCGAUCUGAUAGAAUCCAGAUUUCAGAUCUAGCACUGAGAACCACUUGGAUCCGUUUAGUGCUGAGAGGGACUCUUCCAGAUUGGGUAGAGCAUAAGAGUCCUUCACUGUUUGGAGGUUGAGUUUUCUGUAGUCUAUGCAGAGUCUGACAUCGCCGUUCUUUUUCUUAACGACCACAAUGGGUGAAGAAAAGGGUGACUCUGAUUCACGGAUGAUUUCGCUGUCAAGGAGCUCUUGUAGAUGUUUGCGUACGGCUUCAAUAUCUUGUGGAUGAAUGGGUCUAGCCCUGUGCUUGAAAGGUGUUUGGUCACUGAGCUUUAUGUGGUGUUUUAUUUUGUCAGUUCGUCCAAAAUCAAGUUCAUGUUGUGCGAACACAUCUGGCAUGGAAUUUAACUUUUCAGUGAUCCGCUCUUUCCAUUUGUGUGGUAUUGAUGAGUCUCCGAAGUCAAAAUUGAUCUUUGGUUUUUGUUCAGGUUUAAUUGAUGUAUUUGCAUUGGAAGAAUUGAUGUGUUGGACACUUUGGAUGGCUUUUAUUUCCGCUAUUGCACUUUUUGGGGAGAUGAUGACUUCAUGAUCAGACUCGUUUUUGAGGAUCACUGGUAUAUAGCCAGGUAGUUUGGAGGGUAGGCUUGCCAAAGUAUUGGUUACCAUUACACCACCAGGUAGGGAAGAGAUUGUUGGUGAUUCAACUACAACCCAUUUUUCAGGGCUUAGUGAUUUGCAGUUGAUGGAUCCUUUGAGGACUUUAGUUUCAUUGGGGCUAAUGAUCUCAGCUUCUUUACUGGAAAGUCUGACGACUCCGAGACUUGAGUCAACUUUCUGUUUGUGUCUCAUUUCAAGUGUCUGUAGAACAACUCUGUAACCAUAUGGCAGUGACUGGAUACUCUGGAAGGCAGUAUCUGAGUAUUGCUCAAAAAGAAUGUCAAGAGUGUUCGUUCCGAUCAAAACUGAUGAUAAAGUUGAGCGCAUGUCGGGCACAAUUAGGGCGACAGUGGGCACUGUAAUGUUCUGACCAAGAAUAUUUUCGGGAAAUGUGAUACCUACUUCAAUAUAUCCUGAGUAGGGGACAUCUUGACCAUUAGCAGCUUCCACUUCAAGUAAAUUGUUCAAAGGCUCGAUGGGUAAGUGUGACAAAUGUUUCUCAUAAAAUGAGUUUGGGAUCGUAGUUACUUGGGAUCCUGUAUCAAGCAAGCAGUCACAGUCUCUGUCUGCUAUGGUCACUUUCGCUGUAGUUUUGGCUCCAAUGAGCCCUUUUGGAAGUUCAGCUUUUCGUUGAUUGGGGGAUGAGCAUGCUAAUGAAGCGUGCUGUUUCUGUCUGGGACGCUUGAUUGGUGUUUCAGCCUCCAAUUGUCCCUCAAUGGUGGCUGAUAUUAGUUUAAAUGAGCUGAUGCCUGAUUGUUUUUCUUGUCCCAUUCUGCCUGUUUCUCCUGUAAGAGCUUUCUUUUUGAAGCAACAAGAGAUGAGUUUGGUUCAGCUUCACAUUGUGGCUUUAUAUGCCCAUCUUCACCGCAUCUAAAACAGUACCAAGGUCUUGGUCUGUUGCUCUGGUUGUGAUUUUCAUUUCGGUUGCUGGGCUGUGUAGUUUGAAGUCUCGCUCCCUCGACUGUCGGUUUAACGCUUACAUGUCGAGCUGCUUUCUUUGAUUGGCACCUGUCUUUCUGUGUGAGUUUUGAAAGUUGUGUUUGCAAAUCAACGAUUUGCUUUUUGAGAUCUUUUAUUUCAGAUUUGGACUCAUCAUGUUUGUGUGGUGGUGAACCACAUUGUUCAGCACUGAAAGCACUUUGGAAAUGGGAAGAAACUUUAUGUCGUGAUGUACCAAAGUAUUGUUUCAUGCGACACUCUUUGGAGUUCCGCUUGUCCUCUUCAGUGCGGAGUAGCAAGAGGAGUUCUGCAAAAGUAGGUGGGUUGUGUUUCUUUUGUUCCAGUUUUAGUUCAGAAAUCAGGUUGUUAUCCCAGCAGCCUCUGCAGAAUUGUUUGAGAAGCUGGCUGUUUAGAUCAGAUCCAUUAACACCGCCUCUUCUGAAAGUGGUGUUGAGUAACACUUGCAAUCGCUGGAGGUAGGCUGAGGGUUUUUCACCGAAGUUUUGCAGUGUAUUGAGGAAUUUGGCAUAGAGGUCAUCCCCAUCUUCCACUGUGCCAAAGGCUGAAUCAAGAAUGUCCAGAAACAUUGAUGGAGGUGAAGAAGGCGUCAGAUGUUUCACUAUGUCAAUAGCUGGUGACAGGAGGCUUUCAAGUAUUUUUCGUGAUUUGUGUAAGUCAGAUUGUCGCACAUCUUUCAGCAGGAAUUCUGCAUUGGAUCGCCAUGUUUCAUAAUCCACUUCAUUGUUUGGACGGGGAGUGCGUCCAGAGAAAGAUCUCAGUCUCAAUGAGGUGUGUGUUUCUGUUUCUUCAUGUUUAACGAUGUGUUCAACAACAACUUUUUGAAGUUCAGGUGGACAGAGGUCUGUAAGGCUGAGAUUGGGCUGUGCCUUUUCUUUCUGGGGUGACUGAGGACUCACCUGGGCUACAGGCUCAGGAGAUUUUUCUUGAAUGUUGUCCACACUGGUGUCAGGAUUUUCGAUUUGACUUUGAGAGUCUUCCUCACCGAUAGUUUCACUAAUGCGAGAAAGUUCUGCUUUCAACACAUCUGUAAAGUCUUGGCCACUGUGUUUGGCAAUCUCUUUCAACUCUGAGAGGUAGGUUUUUGUAGCCGAUUGGCUGAUUGCAGGUGUGUAAACAUUUGCUAAGGCCUCAAUAAGGUAAGUGACAUCCUUCUGAGAUUUGCUGGCAAGUCUGUGUGGCAAUAAAGGUGAGAGUGACUGUAUGGCCGUGCCAUAUGUGUACACAAUAAUGAUCUGCAAACCUAACUCAGGGUGAGGUAGAUCAACUGGGACUCUGUUCUGAAUGGAACCAUAUUGUUUCAAGAAGUCAUAAAGCUCUUCAUCCGUUUCUGUAUCAGUUAACCCACUAACUAAGAGUGAGUUUGGGAUUUUAACACCUUUGGUCUGGAUGAUGUCCAUGUUCACGGUACAGUUAUCUGGUCUCUGGAAUCAAAUUGCAUCUGGUUUAAGCCACUCCUGGCUGGGCUCGCCAAAUUUAUGUAGCACUCUUAUGGAUGAGUAUAAAAGUAGAGCUACUGGACCAGAUCUAGGCUCUAAGAGUGGAAUAACAGUGCAGAAAGAGACCAAAGACCAGACACUUUCAGGUCAAGAAAUCUCAAUUUAUCAAACAGUUUGAACAUGAAAACACAACAAUUGCAAUGAAAUAAUAAACAAUUAUCCUGCAGGGAUUUAAAGAAAAUGAAUUAAUGAAAACUGAUUUUUAAGAAAAUGAAAUCUACUCUCUCAGUUUCGUUUUUUCAGCUUAAAUGUAUUUAAUCUUCUAGUUUGAUUUGACAGGUCAAACUAAGAUUUAAUUCAGGUAAAUAGGUUUCUCCUAUUUUAGUUUCUUUAUCUCUGAGUUAACUCUUUGUUUCUUUCAACAGGUGAAAUACCUUCUUAGAUCAACCAUGAAUUAUAUUGCAACACUUCACAAUCAUGACAAUUAUGAAAAAGUUCAACAUAAAACAUCAAUCAAAAUCAAAUGAAAGUCUUUCAAAUUCAGUUCAAAUUACUUCCAGAUCAAAUCAAGGAUUUCUAGUCCAAAAAGGGAGAAGAAGAAACAGUUCGUUCGAUCUAAUGUGAAACCAAAAAUCCAGUUGUAGUCCUCAAAUUGCUUUGGAAAAAAAAAAAAGAAAGAGGAGAUAGGAUGAAGAGGUUUUGAUACUCCUACCACUCUGGCAGCAGUUUACCCCAGUCUGUCCACUGGUGUGUAGUGAUGGUUUCACCAGCACAACGCAGGUUCUCCAAUCUAGUGGUUCUUGGGUGGCUCGCCUACUCUGUUGUCCAGUGUGCUCACUCCCCACACAUCAUGGGCAAGAUCCUUUCCUUAGUUUGGCUUGCAUGAAGCCAUGUGGGCAAAGGGGAAAGGUGGGGGGAGGGGGGAAAAAACCUGACCUGUAUAACAGGCCAUGAGCAAAAUAAAUCAGUCUCACAUUAAACAUUUCUGCUACACAAACAGAUCCAUCACAUGCUCAAAAUAGUAACAUAAAAUCUCUUUUUGCAUCUUCCAUAUCAAUUAAAGAAAAUAAAACAACUCUUAACGUGAGGUAAAAAGAGGGGCUCAGCGGCCGCCAUGCUUCGCUCUGCAGCGUGGCCGUCACAACGGUGAAUAAAACCAGAAAAACCAAAGUUUUAACUCACCAAAGCCGCUGAAGUUCACAAUCCUAGGCUCUCAAGAAUCAAAGACCCUGUGAAUAUCCCUUCACUAGUCUUUUUUCAUUUGUUUGUCCUCCUUUUCUUAACUAGCUGCUCUCGCGUCUUCUCCGGCUUUCGGCUCCGUGCACUGAGCUUCCUGCUUCCGAAGAGUGCACCGCAACUCUUAAAGGGGCAGCGUCACAUUUUAUUUUUUGUCUGACAACUCUAAAUUAAUACACAUAAGGGAGGCUACAACGAUUUUUAAACAUCCAAAAUAAUUACAUACACACAUUUUUAAACCUCACAUGAAUUUAUACAUUUUUUAAAUUACAUUUUUAAUCAACUAUUUACACCAUGAUGUCAUUUUUUAAUGUGGGUUACACUAGCAUCCGCCAAGAGAGUUGGGGAUCUCUGCACCUUGUCGGUUCACCCAUCCUAUAUGGUGUUCAGCCAGGAUGGAGUACUCGUGCACCUCUGGCCUAACCCGGCCUUUCGUCCAAAGGUGAGCACUUCGGACUUCCGGUCGCGAGUGAUUUGGAUCAGAAUGCUUGGCUCCCUGCCUGGCUCGUCUGAGGACAACCCACGGCUAUGGUUGCAAUGCCCGGUCAGGGCACUGCAACCAUAGCCGUUACAUAGCCGUUACUACCAUAGUGCGUUACUAUGUCCAGCGCACAGCUGGCUUUCGUGCUACGGACCAGCUGUUUGUGAGGUUUGGAGCUAGGGGGCGUGGAGCCCCGCUGACCUCUCAACGUCUCGCCCACUGGGUGGGGGGCGCUAUUGCAGCUGCCUAUGAGGCACAGAAUCUCUCGCCGCCGGCAGUGAUUCGUGCUCAUUCAACACGACAUGUGAGUGCCUCUGCGGCCCUAUGCAGAGGGAUCACGGUGAGUGAUAUCUGCCAGGCUGCCUCCUGGGCCUCCACGUCCACUUUUGUGCGUUCAUAUCUGAUGGAUAUGUGCACAGACACUGUGGCCAUGUCGGUUUUCAGUGAGAACACGUGUUCUGUUGCUGAACUGUGUUGGUCCCUGUGGCCCGGCUGCUGCGUCCCGAGUGGGGUUGCAGCCCAGGGUUUUCCCCGCCUGCCGCUCUGGCUCUGCCGCGGCUUGCAGAUGUUGUGACCGCGGCGGUGCUUAGCGGAAACAGGAGUUCUGUCGCUUGCCGUUUUUGGUCUUUUUAGCCCGGCUCCCGAGUGGGGUCGCGGCCCAGGGUUUUCCCCGCCUGCCGCUCUGGCUCUGCCUUGGCUGGCGUAUAUUGUGACCCUGUCGGUGUUUACCGGGAACAGGAGUUUUCUGCCUCUUGCCGUGUUGAUCUUUGGCCUGGCUCCCGCUUCCCAUGUGGGGUCGCGGACUGCGGUUUUCCUCGCCUGCCGCUGUGGCUUCGUCCUGGUCGGCGUGUGUGUGUCGCUAUGGCGAUGCUUAUGCACUUUUUGGGCAGUGCCUCGGUGCAGGCUCCUUGCCCCAUUUUUUUCCUGGAAGUUAUUUCGGCUGUUCUGGAUGUACGGUUUGUUUACUUCCACCUUUUUCCAGACCAAUCCUGUCAGCAUGCCAGCUGGGAGUACAUUCAUCCCCUACCGCCUCCGCCUUGGUGAGUACCAAUAGCGAAGCCCAUAGGCAGGCUAAGCAUAUCACGACGUAGAAUUAGUAGUAACUAAACGUAACUCCAGUUCUACGAGUGUAUGCGUGCCCGCCUACCUGCUGGCCCAGCUGUUUGCUUCCUUCUUUGCUGAUUCAGAACGAGGGAGAUACGCCGACUGUUGGUUUAUACCCUCUGGGAGGGGCGUGGUACUGUGCCAACACACGGCUAGGAUUGGUGCGCAGGUUUCAAUUGUUAUCUCAGUGGAUUGGCUGGCGCCUGAGGAGUACCACUAGCGAAGCCCGUAGGCGGGCACGCAUGCACUCGUAGAACUGGAAUUACGUUUAGUAAAUACUAAUUACUCAACCACAAUUUCACAGGACCACCUUUUAUCAACAUAAAGUACUUGUGUUCCAUCACACUGGAUGUGAACUAUGUGAAAGACUGCCCUAUCUCUCAAUGAUACAUAAUCCUUUAAAAAAAUUCCUGGAUCCAGACAGUGACCUGGAUCAUCACCAAAAUUUAAUGGAUUCUAAGUUAGCCCAAGACCCACCUUUCCACAAAGUUUCAUUGCAAUCCGUCCAUAAGUUUUUCUGUAUUGUUGCUAACAAUCAAACCAACAAACCGGCGUGAUUCCAUAACCUCCUGGCGGAGGUAAUAAAAUAAUAUAGAAUGUGGUUGCACAUUUGGGUGCACCACAGAAAAAAAGUGGAAUUAUUGACAAUGAAAGUAUUUAACAGUCUCUUCAAUCAAUGUUGUCCUCAGUGUGUGAAGAUGUCUGCUGCCAGCAAUCUGCGCUCUGAAGCUCAGUUUCUGUGCUCCAUCUGUCUGGAAGUGUUCACUGAUCCAGUUUCCACACCAUGUGGACACAACUUCUGCAACGAGUGCAUCACUCAGCACUGGAACACCAAGGUCAUCUGUGACUGUCCCCUGUGUAAAGAGGUUUUCUCAAAUAAACCUCAGCUGAAAGUCAACACCUUCAUCGCUGAGAUGGUUUCUCAGUUCAGACAUGAAGCUGAACUCAAAGCCAGCAGCAGCUCAGAGCAACAAGCUGCCAAACCAGGAGAAGUUCCCUGUGACCUCUGCACUGGAAGCAAAGUGAAGGCCCUCAAGUCCUGCCUGGAGUGCCUGGUCUCCUACUGUCAGACUCAUCUGGAGCCUCAUCUGACAGUGUCAGUCCUGAAGAAACAUCAGCUGAUGGAGCCUGUGGAGAACCUGGAAGGCAGGAUGUGUCUGAAGCACCAUAAACCUCUGGAGCUGUUCUGUCAGAGAGAGCAGACAUGUGUCUGCAUGAUGUGCACUGUUUUAGAGCACAGGAAACACAAGGUUGUUCCUCUGAGUGAAGAAUGUGAAGGAAAGAAGAAGGAGCUGAGGAAGACAGAGGCUGAGAUGCAGCAGAUGAUCCAGGAGAGACGAUUGAAGAUCAAGGAGAUCAGAGAGUGUGUGAAGAUGAGUAAAGCUGCUGCAGACAGAGAGAAAGCAGAGCGUGUUGAGGUGUUCACUGCUCUGAAGGAGUGUGUUGAGAGAGGCCUGAAGCAGCUGAUGGAUAGGAUGGAGGAGGAAGAGGAAGCCAGAGAGAAACAGGCUGAAGAUCUCAUCAGAGAACUGGAAGAGGAGAUCUGUGAGCUGAUGAUGCGGAGCUCAGAGGUGGAGCUGCUCUUCCUCUCUGAAGACCACCUCCACCUCCUCCAAGGCUUCUCCUCCCUGAAAGCUGCUCCACCCACCAAGGACUGGACACAGGUCAGCGUCCGUCCAUCAUCAUAUGAGGGGACUGUGGUGAGAGCUGUGGCUCAGCUGGAGGAGACUCUCAGCAAAGAGAUGAAGAAGCUGUUUGAGGCUGAUCUGAAGAGGAAGCAGCAGUUUGCAGUGGAUGUGACUCUUGAUCCUGAUACAGCUCAUCCUAAUCUCAUCCUGUCUGAUGAUGGAAAACAAGUGAGUCAUGGUGAUGUGGAGAAGAAUCUUCCAGACAACCCAGAAAGAUUUGAUUCAUGUGUGAGUGUUUUGGGAAAACAGAGUUUCUCUUCAGGUAAAUUUUACUUUGAGGUUCAGGUUGAAGGAAAGACGAAAUGGAUUUUAGGAGUGAGCAAAGAGACCAUCAACAGGAAGGGAGGGUUCACAAUGAGCCCUGAUCAAGGUUUCUGGACAAUAUGGCUGAAAAAUGGAAAUCAGAUCUCAGCUCUGAAAGGCCCUGCAGUGCGUCUGUCUCUGAGUUCUGCUCCUGAGAAGGUGGGGGUGUUUGUGGAUUAUGAGGAGGGUCUGGUCUCUUUUUAUGAUGUAGCUGCUGCAGCUCCGAUCUACUCCUUCACUGGCUGCUGCUUCACUGACAAACUCCUCCCAUACUUUAAUCCCUUUAACAAUGACGGUGGUAAAAACUCUGCUCCUCUGAUCAUCUGUCCUGUCAAUCAAAGUGUCUGAUGAGGAAGAUUCACCAACAAUUAAUGAGCUUGUUGGAAAGUAAAAGAUUGACUCUGAUUUAUUUGAUCAAAUCCAGAUGUUCAGUCUGCACUAAACUCACAUUGUUCUCUUCAGUCUUUGAUUAUUGGACCAUUGUUUGAAUGAAUCCAGACCAAUCAGUCAUGAUGUCCACUUCCCUAAUAUGAAGUGCUGAAGCUGCCCUGACCCACUCAGACAUGGACUCCUCUACACCUCUGAAGACCUGCUGGUUUAAGCAGGUCCUUUGACUCCUUUGACUUGUGAGCUGUUAGCUUCUUGGAUCAGACUUGUUUGUCCACUGAGUGAGAUGUGGGGAAUUCAGAGGCCAAGUCAACUUUUCAAAGUGUUUGUUGUGUUGCUCAAAGCAUUCCUGAAGCCUUUUAGCUCUGUGGCAGGGUGAGAAAUGAAAAGGAAGAAGCAAGGAGAAUAAGAAGGACUGAAUACAAUCCAUGUGACAAACACCAUCCAUCCAUCUUCUCCACCUCUUUCUCCAGCAGAAGUUCAGGGGCUGUUGUAGGAACUAGCAGCUUGAUCAUUUGUCUCACUGUGGACUGCUAAAUGUCUCAAAUCUCUCAGAUGACUUUGUGUCUUCUUCCAGCUUCAUGCAGCUCAACAAUUCUUCACAGAUCUUCUUGUGAUGCUUCCUUCACACCAGCAGAUGUUUCUUGUGUUUGGUGUUUUUCUUGGUCACAGUUGUUCUUCAGUUUGGAUCAAUCUUUCAUCUGAACUCAAGAUAACAUGUUUUAGACUCAUUAUCCUGAAAGUUCAUUUAUUUCUUCCAGCAGCUGUGAGAAUGUUUAAUGGAUAUUUUCAAUAAAAACAUGAAAUGUUACCACUGUUUCACUUGUGGUUUUUAUUAGGGACUGAGCCCUCCGGGCAUGGUGGCCUUCAGCCACCAUUCCCGGCGGCCAAGGUCUCUAUUGUUCUUCCGGUGUUUGUUUCCCUCACGGUUAUUAUUAUUCUGACGCCCAAACAAACCCUAAUUUGACCCCCUAAACAUGCACGAAAACUCACCAAAUUUGGCAGGCAUGUCUGGACCUGCGAAACAUUUGAUAAAAUGG
This is an RNA transcript of Salarias fasciatus (jewelled blenny), 11699 nucleotides long. It is a transcript of the gene named E3 ubiquitin/ISG15 ligase TRIM25-like, with no coding region annotated. NCBI's taxonomy places the organism in Eukaryota, Metazoa, Chordata, Actinopteri, Blenniiformes, Blenniidae. The transcript is spliced from 2 exons. The record is from RefSeq and is a predicted model, not a curated record.